UAGCCUAUGAUGAUUAGCAUUUAUGUUGGAAUUACCGUCAGAUUCUCAAAUGACGAUACUUGUCUGGCUUCCUGAGGCUUAGU
This 83-nucleotide small nucleolar RNA is filed under the name Leersia perrieri. The record is from RNAcentral. Lineage: Eukaryota; Viridiplantae; Streptophyta; Magnoliopsida; Poales; Poaceae.